This 496-nucleotide ribosomal RNA is filed under the name uncultured bacterium. Its description in RNAcentral is "partial 16S ribosomal RNA". It matches the Rfam family "Bacterial small subunit ribosomal RNA", at positions 28 to 507 of the family's 1533-position model. The record is from RNAcentral.
GACGAACGCUGGCGGCGUGCCUAAUACAUGCAAGUCGAGCGGACAGACGGGAGCUUGCUCCCUGAUGUUAGCGGCGGACGGGUGAGUAACACGUGGGUAACCUGCCUGUAAGACUGGGAUAACUCCGGGAAACCGGGGCUAAUACCGGAUGGUUGUCUGAACCGCAUGGUUCAGACAUAAAAGGUGGCUUCGGCUACCACUUACAGAUGGCCCGCGGCGCAUUAGCUAGUUGGUGAGGUAACGGCUCACCAAGGCAACGAUGCGUAGCCGACCUGAGAGGGUGAUCGGCCACACUGGGACUGAGACACGGCCCAGACUCCUACGGGAGGCAGCAGUAGGGAAUCUUCCGCAAUGGACGAAAGUCUGACGGAGCAACGCCGCGUGAGUGAUGAAGGUUUUCGGAUCGUAAAGCUCUGUUGUUAGGGAAGAACAAGUGCCGUUCAAAUAGGGCGGCACCUUGACGGUACCUAACCAGAAAGCCACGGCUAACUACGUG